UCUGAUGACAUAUCAAUGGCAAAUUCAAUAAAGUACAUUAUAAGGACACAGGGAGCACAUCAAAAUCUUCAGGGAGAUUUGUAUUUUGAUUUAUUUAUCAUACAUACAUGGAAACAUACAGUGAAAUGUGCCAUUUGCCUUAACAAUCAGAAUCAGGUUUAUUAACACUGGCAUAUGUCUUGAAAUUUGUUAACUUAGCAGCAGCAGCUUAAUGCAAUACAUGAUAAUAUAGAAAGAAAAAAUCAGUUACAGUAGGUAUAGAUGUGUAUAUCAAAUAGUUAGAUAAAAAGUAGUGCAAAUCAGAAAUAAUAUUUUAAAAAGUGAGGUAGUUUUCAACGCACGUAACGAUGGGCUGGGAGCAACUUGGAGGUGUUGCCACGCAUUCCGGUGACCACAAUGCAAGGAAGAGCAACACAGAACGCAGCAACAAAACAAACCCCUUUCGUCCCUCCCACACAUGCAGAUGGUCCUCUAACUCCAGGACAAGCCUCAACUCUCCAAGCUUUUGCCAUCGGGCUUCAAGUUCUGGACUUCCAGUUGACCUUCAGGCUUUGAUCUUUGGUGUCGGCCCCUGGACCAGCUGAAGGUUCACCGAUGGAGGUUUCUGGAUGAGCAGUGGUCAUAUUAGUUUGGACACAACGCACAGUAGGCGUCAUUGCUGUGAAAUUGGAACAGCACACUGGAGAAAUUACAUUCAUCCAAACUUCAAGAGCAGGUAUUAACAGAAAGAUGAGCACGUGUUUAAGCUCUGUUCUUUUCUGAGCCACUGUUGAGCCUCCGACUGAGGUAAGCUAUUGCAAUUUUACCGAAGAAACGGAUGUCUCCUUGGUCUUUGUACAUCUUUCAUUUAAGUUUAAAGGGUAUGAGUAUGAGGGAACCAGUUCCAAAAAUAAAAUUAUCUUAAAAUCGGACUCAUGGCUUGAGGAGUACAUGGACUUGAAAUGGCAGACUCAUUUUCAGUAUUUCUGCCAUUGUGGAAGAUCAUAUAAGUUCAAGUUCAAAGUUCCUAAUGUUUAAUUUUCCUUAUUAUUUCUUAAAUUCUCAAAGCUCGUGAGCCUUUCUGAAGCAUUUUCACUCACAUACUCAACAUUUUAGGGCCAGCUUCCUCCUCUCUGCCAAAAGAUUUCUGAAUGACAAUGAACUCAUAUACACUACCUCACCAUUUUUGCACUCUUUUUGCACUACUAUUUAAUUUAUUUUAUAUAUUUUUUCUUAUUGUAAUUUGCUGGUUUUCUAUUAUUAUGUAUUUCACUGUACUGCUGUUGCAAAACAACAAAUUUCACGACAUACUGAAUGCCAGUGAUACUAAAUCUGAUUCUGAUUGAAAUUAACUCAUACUAUAAACUCACCUUACUGUCCCUAAGGCAUCUCCCAGUGACCACACAUUUUAAUUCCACGUCCCAUUCCCAUUCUGAUAUGUCUGUCCAUGGCCUCCUCUACUGUCAAGAUGAAUCCAAACUCAGGUUGGAGGAACAACACCUUAUAUACCGGCUGGGCAGCCUCCAACCUGAUGGCAUGAACAUUGACUUCUCUAACUUCCGUUAAUGCCCCUCCUCUCCUUCUUACACCAUCCCUGACAUAUUUAGUUGUUUUUUUUCUCUCUCUCUCUGCCUAUUCUCCAACUGCCUCUGGUGCUCCCCCCUUUUCUUUCUCCUGAGGCCUCCUGUCCCAUGAUCCUUUCCCUUCUCCAGCUCUGUAUCACUUCCGCCAAUCACCUUUACAGCUCUCAGCUUCAUCCCACCCCCUCCAGUCUUCUCCUAUCAUUUCGCAUUUCCCUCUCCCCCCACUACUUUCAAAUCUCUUACUAUCUUUCCUUUCAAUUAGUCCUGACGAAGGGUCUUGGCCCGAAACGUCGACAGUGCUUCUCCCUAUAGAUGCUGCCUGGCCUGCUGUGUUCCACCAGCAUUUUGUGUGUGUUGUUUGAAUUUCCAGCCUCUGCAGAUUUCCUUGUGUUUGUCCCUAAGGCAUUCUGGUAUCACAGAGAAAAGUUUGUUUUAUAAGAUGGUUUCAUCCCAAUGUGUGUACAUCACUUAUGGGGAAAAUAAACUUUAUAUACCACAAAAUGAUUCCGGGAUUGAAGGGCUUAUUGUAUGAGGAGUUAGAUGGCUUUGGGCCUGUACUCACUGGAAUUUAGAAUAAUGAGGGAGGAAUCUUAUUGAAACUUCUCGAAUGUCAAAAGUCCCAGAUAGAGGGGAUGUAAGAGAGGAUGAUCCCUACAGUGGGGGAUUCUAGUACCAGAUGGCACAACCUCAGAAUAGAGGGAUGUCCAUUAAAACAAGGAUGAGAAGGAAUUUCUUUAGCCAUAGGGUCGUGACUCUGUAGAAUUCAUUGCUACAGGUAGCUGUGGAGGCCAGGUCAUUGAGUGUAUUUAAGGCAGAGAUUGAUAGAUUCUUGAUAAGUCAGGGUGUGAAAGGUUCUGGGGAGAAGGAAGGAAGCACACUCCUGUGUCUUGUGCUCUAAAACAUUGUGUAACUUAAGUGCUUCAAGUGUACUUAAUUGCUUCUUCAACACAAAUAAAACACAAUCAGAGACCUAAUCUAUGGAAGCAUAAACUGGGAACAGAUGUUCUCAGGGAAAUAUACGGAAGAAAUGUGGCAAAUGUUCAAGGAAGUUCUGCAUAGGUAUGUUCCAGUGAGACAGGGAAAGGAUGGUAGGGUACAGGAACCAUGGUGUACAAAGGCUGUUGUAAAUCUAGCAAGAAGAAAAGAGCUUACAAAAGGUUCAAAAAACUAGGUAAUGAUAGAGAUUUAGAAGAUUAUAAAGGCUAGGAAGGAGUUUAAGAACGAAAUUAGGAGAGCCAUUAGGGGCCAUGAGAAGGCCUUGGCGGACAGGAUUAAGAAUUCCCCAAGGCAUUCUACAUGUAUGUGAAAGCAAGAGGAUAUGAUGUGAAAGAAUAGGACCUAUCAAGUGUGACAGUGGAAAAGUGUGUACGGAACCGGCGGAGAUAGCAGAGGUACUUAAUGAAUACUUUGCUUUAGUAUUCACUACGGAAAAGGAUCUUGGCGAUUGUAGGGAUGACUUACAGUGGACUGAAAAGCUUGAGCAUGUAGAUAUGAAGAAAGAGGAUGUGCUGGAACUUUUGGAAAACAUCAAGUUGGGUAAGUCACCAGGACCGGAUGAGAUUGCUGAGCCUCCAGCGAUGAUCUUUGCAUUAUCAAUGGGGACAGGUGAAGUUCUGGAGGUUUGGAGGGUUGUGGAUGUUGUUCCAUUGUUCAAGAAAGGGAGUAGAGAUAGCUCAGGAAAUUAUAGACCAGUGAGUCUUACUUCUCAGUUGGUAAGAUAAUGGAGAAGAUCCUGAGAAGCAGGAUUUAUGAACAUUUGGAAAGGCAUACUAUGAUUAGGAAUAGUCAGCAUGGCUUUGUCAAAGGCAGGUCAUGCCUUACGAGCCUGAUUGAAUUUUUUUGAGGAUGUGACUAAACACAUUGUUGAAGGUAGAGCAGUAGAUGUAGUGUAUAUGGAUUUCAGCAAGGCAUUUGAUAAGGUACCCCGUGCAAGACUUAUUGAGAAAGUAAGGAGGCAUGGGAUCCAAGGGGCAUUGCUUUGUGGGUCCAGAACUGGCUUGCCACAGAAGGCAAUGAGUGGUUGUAGACGGGUCUUAUUCAGCAUGGAGGUCAGUGACUAGUGGUGUACCUCAGGGAUCUGUUCUGGGACCCCUACUGUUUGUGAUUUUUAUAAAUGACCUGGAUGUGGAAGUGGAGGGAUGGGUUAGUAAGUUUGCUGAUGACGCAAAGGUUGGGGGUGUUGUAGAAAGUGUGGAGGGCUGUCAGAAGUUACAGCAGGACAUUGAUAGGAUGCAAAACUGGGCUGAGAAGUGGCAGAUGGAGAAGAGUGUGAAGUGGUUCAUUUUGGUAGGUCAAGUAUAAUGGUAGAAUAUAGUGUUAAUGGUAAGACUCUUGGCAGUGUGGAGAAUUAGAGGGAUCUAGGGGUCCGAGUCCAUAGGACACUCAAAGCUGCUGCGCAGGUUGACUCUGUGGUUAAGAAGGCAUAUGGUGCAUUGGCUUUCAUCAGACAUUGGAUUGAGUUUAGGAGCAGAGAGGUAAUGUUGCAGCUAUAUAUGAUCCUGGUCAGACCCCACUUGGAGUACUGUGCUCAGUUCUGGUUGCCUCACUACUGGAAGGAUGUGGAAGCCAUAGAAAGGGUGCAGAGAAGAUUCACAAGGAUGUUGCCUGGAUUGGGGAGCAUGCUUAAUGAAAACAGAUUGAGUGAACUUGGCCUUUUCUCCUUGGAGCGACGGAGGAUGAGAGGUGACCUGAUAGAGGUGUAUAAGAUGAUGAGCAGCAUUGAUCAUGUGGACAGUCAGAGGCUUUUUCCCAGGGCUUUAAUGACUAGCAUGAGAGGGCACAUUUUUAAGGUGCUUGGAAGUAGGUACAGAGGAGGUGUCAGGGAUAUAUUUUUUACGCAGCGAGUGGGAGUGCAUGGAAUGGGCUGCUGGCGACGGUGGUGGAGGUGGAUACGAUCGGGUCUUUUAAGAGAGUCCUGGAUAGGUACAUGGUGCUUAGAAAAAUAGAGGACUGAGGGUAACCCUAGGUAAUUUCUCAGGUAAGGAUACGUUCGGCACAGCUUUAUGGGCUGAAGGGCCUGUAUUGUGCUUUAGGUUUUUAUGUUUCUAGAGACAGGAAUAGUGAGACAAAAAACUUUUAGAAAUUUUCAGUAGGUCAGCUAGUAUUUGCAGGGAGGGAAACAACAUUUCUGAUCAGUGACUUUUUGGAGAAGCAGAUGAUUAAAAUCAUGUAGUUCACUACAUGAAAUUCUAAUUAUAUCUCAAUUUAGAGGGAGAUAUAAUUAAUCCCGGCAGUUUGUUUUAUUUCAGGUUUCCUGAUUCAGAUAGUGUGUGUGAUCUGUGACCUAACUUAAUAUUCAUUCUCCUUCUCAAUGGAUUUACAAAAAUAUAGCAGCUGUGGAUUAAAUAUUAAUGCAACUUUUAUUGACUUCUAAAGAAGAGAAUUCCAGACUUGCACUAACUUUUGCUCAGCUUUUACUUUUGCAGAGAAAACUUAUACUCGAUUCCUUCGAAUAACUGAACAGGAGGCAUUUCUGUGUGGAACCUCGAUACCAGUAUGAUGUAGCCCAAAAAGACUGUUAAAAGAAAGCCUUGCAUUUCUCUAGAGAUUUUCUAAUCUGAUGACGUUGCAAGUUGCUUUGCAAUCAGUGAGAUAAUUUUUGAAAUAUUCUCACUCUUAGGCAAUUGCAAGCAGAGCUAGAUUUUAGGCACAGCAAGAUCCACAGUCACUGAUGUAAUAAUUUUCAGGUAAUUUGCUUGUUAAAUGAUAAUUGACGAAAGGAUAGAUUUUGACCAGGUCCAGUGGCCUUGCUCUUUGAAGUUGUAAUAAGAAAACGGUAGAAUCUUUAAACUAACGUUAUGCAUCUAUCUUCACAGUCAAGGCAGAAAUAAAAAUCAUGCUGAUGCCUGUAAGGAAUUUGUACGUUCUUGGCGUGACUGCUUGGGUCUUGUCCCACAGUCCAAAAAUGUACCAGUUGUUAGGUUAAUUGGUCAUUGUAAAUUGUCCAUUGAUUAGGCUGGAAUUAAAUCAGGGGAUUGCUGGUUGGCGUGACUCGAAGGACACUGCGGUUCAAUAAAUAAAGAAAUAAAUUUCAGAAAUGGUACAAGACCUAGCAUUUAAUGAGAGAAAAGAGUUUAAAUAAAUCUGUUUUAAUAAAAGUAUUUGAGGAAUAAUUGGGCUGAAACUGGAAAAUCUUCUGUUUCUGAUGGCCUACGUCCUUGCUUUUCAUUAGAUCUGGCUACUAUGACAGUGACUGCAUUGGUUUUCGUCUUCCAGAAUUCCAGAGAAUUGAGAAUGAUCCCUACAUUAUGAAAAAUAGUACAUUGAACAUUGCUGUUUUCAGAAAGAAAGGAAAGAGAAAGCAGGGAAUGAAAACUAUGAACUAGCAUCUGCAACAUGGAAAUGGCUGAAAUCUGGUAUCAGCAAUGUGAUAACAGGGUCAUUGCAAAAACUGGAAAGCCGUGACAGAUGCUUCUCGGUAUGAAAGAAUAUUCACCCAUUGGGAUUUACCUGCACAUUCUGGAUUGUCCUCAUUAAAGUUGAUUGCAAAGUCAUGGGAGACCUGGAAGCCAUCAAUUGAGAGAGAUAACAAAAUGUUAGUGUUUGGGAAUAAAAUUUGAAUUACAGUGAAUCUCAGUUAAUUGGGCCAUUGGUUAAUAAGGCAGCACUGAUUUGGGACAAUUUUGAAAGAACAAAAACAAAUUAAGAAAAUAACCAGGAUUCCCUUUGCUUAUUUGAGACACUUUGCUGCUUAAUUGGGGCAAGAGACAAACAUUUUCUAACUAGUAUCAGUUGCAUGCAUGCUGUGCGGCCAUUAGACACCACACUGUGCUUAGAGCAAACAAUUUUUAAAUAGCGUCAAUUACGUGUGCUUGUGUUCAAAUGUAGUAACAGUGUGAGUAAUAAACUAAGACAAUUCAGAACUGUAUUGCUCACUGUGGUUUCAAGUAUUCAAACUUCAAGAUGCCGGAAAUGGCUGGGAGUGAAAAUUGAACAAUUUCACUACUUCAACAAGUUAGGAAUUAUGAAAAGGUUGAAGGUAUUGGUAAUCAUCUUGAAAGUAACAAAGAAAAUUUGAAGGAUGUAAAAACAUCUAAAGCACCGUUUGAAGGCAAUACACUAUCAGCACUAAGAAUCUGUGAUAACUUUGUCCAUUUACAGUUAAUGAAAAGAAUAUGUCAGUGCACACUAAAUGAAUUUCUCCAUCGAUAACUCUCAGGAACUAAUACACAGUUUUAUAUUACUGUAGUAGUUUUGGUUGUGCUCUAAUUUGUUCUGUGUUUCAUUUAAAUACAUAAUUUGUUACUCUGUUAAACAGUAGCUUGUCAUUUUAUACCCUUUUAACUAUUUCCACGAAACUUCAGCUGAUUAGGGCAGCUGCCUAAUUGGGCCAAAAUGUACAAGUCCGGAUGUGUCCCAGUUAACCAGAAUCCACUGUAUUUUGAACUAUUUCAUGUUAAAUUUUUACCAACAGCGACACAUGUUGAUUAAAAAAUGUAUCCUCCAGUACCUCUCCAAAAGUAUCUUCACCUACCUCGGACAAGAGCAUCAGCUGCAUUGGAGCACCAUUGCCUGCAAGUGCACCUUCAAGUCGCACAACAUACUGACCUGAACAUAUCGCUGUCAAAUGGCUAGAAAACUCCCUCCCGUUUGCCAGCCAUUUUUAUCCUUCGAUCAAUUAUCAGUGUAAAAUCAGAAGUGCUAUGUUGUGUUUAGGUCUCUUAGUUGUAAGAAAAAAAUCCCUAGGCUGAUUUUCUCCUGAUAUCAUACUUAUACAACUAUAGAAGUUUGACAUAAAAAGCUUUGACAGACUUCUGUAAAUGUGUAGUGGAGACAGCGUUGUCCGGCUGCAUCACAACCUAGAAAGGAAACACCAAUGAUUCUGAAUGCAAAAGCCGACAAAAGGUAAUGAAUGUGGCCCAGUACAUCACGGGUAAAGCCCUCCCAACCAUUGAACACAUCUACAUGAAACACUGUUGUCGGAAAGCAGCAUCCAUCAUCAGAGAUCCUCACCACCCAGGCCAUGCUCUUUUCUCACUGCUGCCAUCAGGUAGAAGGUACAAGAGCCUCAGGACUCACACCAGAAUGUUUGAGAAUAGUUACUACCCAUCAACCUUCAAGCUCUUGAAUAAUAGGGGGUAACUACACUCACUUGCCCAUCCAUUGAGAUGUUCCCACAACUAAUGAUCGCACUUUAAAGACUCUAUCUUGUCAUUUCAUGUUCUUGUUAUUUUUUGCUAUUUAUUUAUCUUUGCAUUUGCACAGUUUGUUGUCUUCUACACUCUGGUUGAUCUCUCAUUGACGCUGUUAUAGUUUCUAAUCUAUAGAUUUGCUGAGUAUGAAUCACAAGGUUGUAUGUGGUGACAUAGAUGUCCUCUGAAAAUUUUUUUUGAACAUUGAUAUACUGAGAUUCACUAAAUUAUUAAAACAAAUUAUCUGGUUAUUUGCUCAUAAACAAGAGAAAAUCUGCAGAAGCUGUAAGUUCAAGCACCACACGCAAAAUGCUGGAGAAACUCAGCAGGCCAGGCAGCAUCUAUGGAUAAGAGUACAGUUGACGUUUUGGGCUGGGACCCUUCAGCAGGACGGUUCUUAGCCCGAAACAGUGACAGUACUCCUUUCAGAGAUGCUGCCUGGCCUGCUGAGUUCCUCUGGCAUUUUGUGUGGUUAUUACCUCAUUGUUAUUUGUGGCAGGGGGGGUUGCUUUGCCCAAAUUAGUCGCCACAUUUCUCAGUGUAAAUGUACUUCAGGAGAUACAACAGCCUUCAGGAUUUCAUGAAACCACGAAAGCCAUUGUGAAAAUGCAAUCUGCAUUUUUCUCAUUUACGGUAAUGGCUUUUUCUUCCUGUCUCCAGCAAAAGUAAUAUGAUUGUAUCCUGGUUAAUCUCUUAUGGUGUAUGAUGCUUAGAGACUGAGAAACCCAAGAAAAAUGGGAAGUUAAAGUUGAGAUAUGGAUAAUAUAUAUAUAUAUUUUGGAAACUGAAUUGACAAUCCGACAGAGUCUGCAAUAGCUCCCUGACUACUUCUUAUUGAUUUUGAUUGUGAGUAGGGAACGGAUGAUAAAUGCAGCUGGUGCAAUGAGAAGAUUAUUUAAGUGUGCCUUCAUUUCUGGGUUUCAUUUAUAGGCUGCUGCUCCAGUCUCUGCCUAGAAAAAGAACUUGAAGUGGAUUCUGCUAAACCAUCUAGCGCCUCCUGACAUGCAGGAAAUGUACAUUGAGAUUUUGGGGUUCAGGAAGUGCCCCACAGGAGUGAAGCCAGUUCAGUGCUGAAUUCAGUACACAGUUGAAAAAGAUACAAAGAACAUAGAACGGGGGUCGGCAACCCGCGGCUCCGGAGCCACAUGUGGCUCUUUUACGUCUGUGCUGCGGCUCCCUGUUGCUUUGGGAAAUAAUUGGUUGUGGUGACCCUUUUCCUGGCACAUCCGAACCUGCUCACAAUUAGAUAGCCUACGGGGGUUUGCGAGCACAGAGCUUUGGAGCCUCUGCGCCAUGGGGGGCAGGUUGAGGGAGGCUUAAAAGUGAGGCUGAAGAUUUUGAAUAAAGUUUUUUCCUUCGCCUGCA
Hypanus sabinus (Atlantic stingray) is the source of this 9058-nucleotide long non-coding RNA. RefSeq lists it as uncharacterized. The record is from RefSeq and is a predicted model, not a curated record. The transcript has 3 exons. Lineage: Eukaryota; Metazoa; Chordata; Chondrichthyes; Myliobatiformes; Dasyatidae.